Molecule: ribosomal RNA, 371 nt
Filed under: uncultured organism
Description: bacterial SSU rRNA
Rfam family: Bacterial small subunit ribosomal RNA
Source: RNAcentral
CGUAGGGUGCGAGCGUUAAUCGGAAUUACUGGGCGUAAAGCGUGCGCAGGCGGUUUUGUAAGACAGGCGUGAAAUCCCCGGGCUCAACCUGGGAACUGCGCUUGUGACUGCAAGGCUAGAGUACGGCAGAGGGGGUGGAAUUCCACGUGUAGCAGUGAAAUGCGUAGAGAUGUGGAGGAACACCAAUGGCGAAGGCAGCCCCCUGGGUCGAUACUGACGCUCAUGCACGAAAGCGUGGGUAGCAAACAGGAUUAGAUACCCUGGUAGUCCACGCCCUAAACGAUGUCAACUAGGUGUUGGGUGGGCAAAACCAUUUAGUACCGGAGCUAACGCGUGAAGUUGACCGCCUGGGGAGUACGGCCGCAAGGUUA